UUUAAGGUCUAAUCUGCCCACUGAUUAAUUGAAUGGCCGCAGUAAUUUGACUGUGCAAAGGUAGCAUAAUCAUUAGUUUUUUAAUUAAAAGCUUGUAUGAAUGAUUGGACGAGAUAAAAUCUGUCUCUUAAUUAAAGUUAGAAUUUAAUUUUUAAGUUAAAAAGCUUAAAUUUUUAUAAAAGACGAGAAGACCCUAUAGAUCUUUAUUUAUUUAGAUUGUAAAUUUUAUUUAGAUUUUUUUAUUAUUUAUUUUUUAGUAAAUUUUAUUGGGGUAAUAGGAAGAUUUAAUUAAUUCUUUUUAAAUUUUUACAUUUAUGAGUGAUUUUUUGAUCCAUUAUUAAUGAUUAUAAGAUUAAGUUACCUUAGGGAUAACAGCGUAAUUUUUUUAGAGAGUUCAUAUCGAUAAAAAAGAUUGCGACCUCGAUGUUGGAUUAAAAGUAAUUUUAGGUGCAGAAGUCUAGAGUUUUGGUCUGUUCGACCAUUAAAUUUUU
Molecule: ribosomal RNA, 491 nt
Filed under: Hyphydrus sp. MB377
Lineage: Eukaryota; Metazoa; Arthropoda; Insecta; Coleoptera; Dytiscidae
Description: partial 16S ribosomal RNA
Rfam family: Bacterial large subunit ribosomal RNA
Source: RNAcentral